This 76-nucleotide transfer RNA is filed under the name Bathymodiolus azoricus thioautotrophic gill symbiont. RNAcentral describes it as "tRNA-Gly". It matches the Rfam family "tRNA". From Rfam's summary of the family: Transfer RNA (tRNA) molecules are approximately 80 nucleotides in length. Their secondary structure includes four short double-helical elements and three loops (D, anti-codon, and T loops). Further hydrogen bonds mediate the characteristic L-shaped molecular structure. tRNAs have two regions of fundamental functional importance: the anti-codon, which is responsible for specific mRNA codon recognition, and the 3' end, to which the tRNAs corresponding amino acid is attached (by aminoacyl-tRNA synthetases). tRNAs cope with the degeneracy of the genetic code in two manners: having more than one tRNA (with a specific anti-codon) for a particular amino acid; and 'wobble' base-pairing, i.e. permitting non-standard base-pairing at the 3rd anti-codon position. Lineage: Bacteria; Pseudomonadati; Pseudomonadota; Gammaproteobacteria. The record is from RNAcentral.
CGGGAAUAGCUCAGCUGGUAGAGCAUCACGUUGCCAACGUGAAUGUCGCGAGUUCAAAUCUCGUUUCCCGCUCCAA